AUAAUGAUACUUCGACUUGGCUUAGCAUUGGCUGAGAAGUCGCUCGGUGGAAACGGAGAGGUGAAAUUCCUAUGU
Molecule: non-coding RNA, 75 nt
Filed under: unclassified sequences
Description: pemK RNA
Rfam family: pemK RNA
Source: RNAcentral